This 453-nucleotide ribosomal RNA is filed under the name uncultured Lachnospiraceae bacterium. RNAcentral describes it as "bacterial SSU rRNA". It matches the Rfam family "Bacterial small subunit ribosomal RNA", at positions 927 to 1382 of the family's 1533-position model. Lineage: Bacteria; Bacillati; Bacillota; Clostridia; Lachnospirales; Lachnospiraceae. The record is from RNAcentral.
AAGCAGCGGAGCGUGUGGUUUAAUUCGAAGCAACGCGAAGAACCUUACCAGGGCUUGACAUCCUCUGAAGCGCAUUGAAAGAUGCGCGCCCUUCGGGGCAGAGAGACAGGUGGUGCAUGGUUGUCGUCAGCUCGUGUCGUGAGAUGUUGGGUUAAGUCCCGCAACGAGCGCAACCCUUAUUGUUAGUUGCCAGCAUGAAAGAUGGGAACUCUAACGAGACUGCCGGGGAUAACUCGGAGGAAGGUGGGGACGACGUCAAAUCAUCAUGCCCCUUAUGUCCUGGGCUACACACGUGCUACAAUGGCCGGUACAGAGGGCAGCAAAGGAGUAAUCCGGAGCGAAUCCCAAAAAGCCGGUCUCAGUUCGGAUUGUGGGCUGCAACCCGCCCACAUGAAGCCGGAGUUGCUAGUAAUCGCGAAUCAGCAUGUCGCGGUGAAUGCGUUCCCGGGCCUU